GACCGUGUAGCUCAGUUGGCAGAGCAUUGGCCAAGUAUUCCAAAGGUCGUAGGUUCAAUUACCACCAUGGCCA
RNAcentral lists this transfer RNA (73 nucleotides) under Paramuricea clavata. It matches the Rfam family "tRNA". From Rfam's summary of the family: Transfer RNA (tRNA) molecules are approximately 80 nucleotides in length. Their secondary structure includes four short double-helical elements and three loops (D, anti-codon, and T loops). Lineage: Eukaryota; Metazoa; Cnidaria; Anthozoa; Malacalcyonacea; Plexauridae. The record is from Rfam by way of RNAcentral.